UGAGGAAUAUUGGUCAAUGGACGCAAGUCUGAACCAGCCAAGUAGCGUGCAGGAUGACGGCCCUAUGGGUUGUAAACGGCUUUUAUAUGGGGAUAAAGUGGGGAACGUGUUCCCUUUUGCAGGUACCAUAUGAAUAAGGACCGGCUAAUUCCGUGCCAGCAGCCGCGGUAAUACGGAAGGUUCGGGCGUUAUCCGGAUUUAUUGGGUUUAAAGGGAGCGUAGGCCGUUUGGUAAGCGUGUUGUGAAAUGUAGGAGCUCAACUUCUAGAUUGCAGCGCGAACUGUCAGACUUGAGUGCGCACAACGUAGGCGGAAUUCAUCGUGUAGCGGUGAGAUGCUUAGAUAUCAUGAAGAACUCCGAUUGCGAAGGCAGCUUACAGGAGCGCAACUGACGCUGAAGCUCGAAGGUGCGGGUAUCGAACAGG
This 424-nucleotide ribosomal RNA is filed under the name Verrucomicrobiota bacterium. Its description in RNAcentral is "Verrucomicrobia bacterium partial 16S ribosomal RNA". It matches the Rfam family "Bacterial small subunit ribosomal RNA", at positions 355 to 776 of the family's 1533-position model. The record is from RNAcentral. Lineage: Bacteria; Pseudomonadati; Verrucomicrobiota.